This 85-nucleotide non-coding RNA is filed under the name Saccharolobus solfataricus 98/2. The record is from RNAcentral. Lineage: Archaea; Thermoproteati; Thermoproteota; Thermoprotei; Sulfolobales; Sulfolobaceae.
GGAGAGAAAGUACCAUGAUAGCUGGGGGAAUCGGCGAGGCCCGGAAGGGAGCAGCCGUGCCUGGACGCCAGCGUUCGCUGGUCAA